This 253-nucleotide ribosomal RNA is filed under the name uncultured bacterium. RNAcentral's name for it is "partial 16S ribosomal RNA". It matches the Rfam family "Archaeal small subunit ribosomal RNA", at positions 474 to 727 of the family's 1478-position model. The record is from RNAcentral.
UACCAGCACCCCGAGUGGUCGGGACGAUUAUUGGGCCUAAAGCAUCCGUAGCCGGUCAUGCAAGUCCUCCGUUAAAUCCACCUGCUUAACAGAUGGGCUGCGGAGGAUACUAUAGAGCUAGGAGGCGGGAGAGGCAAGCGGUACUUAGUGGGUAGGGGUAAAAUCCGUUGAUCCAUUGAAGGCCACCAGUGGCGAAGGCGGCUUGCCAGAACGCACUCGACGGUGAGGGAUGAAAGCUGGGGGAGCAAACCGG